GAUGAACGCUGGCGGCGUGCCUAAUACAUGCAAGUCGAGCGAACAGAUGAGGAGCUUGCUCCUCUGACGUUAGCGGCGGACGGGUGAGUAACACGUGGAUAACCUACCUAUAAGACUGGGAUAACUUCGGGAAACCGGAUCUAAUACCGGAUAAUAUAUUGAACCGCAUGGUUCAAUAGUGAAAUACGGUUUUGCUGUCACUUAUAGAUGGAGCCGCGUCUCAUUAGCUAGUUGGUAAGGUAACGGCUUACCAAGGCAACGAUUCGUAGCCGACCUGAGAGGGUGAUCGGCAACACUGGAACUGAGAAACGGUCCAGACUCCUACGGGAGGCAGAAGUAGGGAAUCUUCCGCAAUGGGCGAAAGCCUGACGGAGCAACGCCGCGUGAGUGAUGAAGGUCUUCGGAUCGUAAAACUCUGUUAUUAGGGAAGAACAAAUGUGUAAGUAACUAUGCACGUCUUGACGGUACCUAAUCAGAAAGCCACGGCUAACUACGUG
This 497-nucleotide ribosomal RNA is filed under the name uncultured bacterium. Its description in RNAcentral is "partial 16S ribosomal RNA". It matches the Rfam family "Bacterial small subunit ribosomal RNA", at positions 28 to 507 of the family's 1533-position model. The record is from RNAcentral.